AGACUCAGAAACAGUGGCAAUACAACUGCGAAAAAUGCGAGAAAGAAAUUUAUCAACAGUGACGAAUCAAAAAACUCGCUCUCCUUAUUUUGUUCCCAAUCCUGCACAGUGACACGAGAGAGAGAGUCAAACAUAAAACCCUCAGAUAUGAACAGUCAGAAUCGUUGAAUUUCAGACACACGGCCACAGAGAUGGGAUUUGGACUUACUCUUUCUACAACUUCUCUUUCUCAUCCUCCUCUAUCUUGGUGCACAAGUUGUCACUCUGCAGCAGCAGGAAAAUGAAACAAAGUGAUGAAACAGGUCAGCUACCUUCU
RNAcentral lists this long non-coding RNA (316 nucleotides) under Selaginella moellendorffii. RNAcentral's name for it is "long non-coding RNA (SMOE_LNC002478)". The record is from RNAcentral. Lineage: Eukaryota; Viridiplantae; Streptophyta; Lycopodiopsida; Selaginellales; Selaginellaceae.